Non-coding RNA from Pimephales promelas (fathead minnow), 262 nucleotides. Lineage: Eukaryota; Metazoa; Chordata; Actinopteri; Cypriniformes; Leuciscidae. The record is from RefSeq and is a predicted model, not a curated record.
AACCAGCUGGAGGAGGAGAACAGUGUGGACGUCUAUCUGACCGCCAGGAUGAUGAACCUCAUGAGGCCGGGGGUCUUCGAUGAUAUUGAACAGUAUCAGUUCCUCUAUAAAGCGAUCCUGAGUUUGGUGAGCACUAAGGAGGAUGAGAGAGCUCUUCACUACUCGGAAAACAACGGCACGGUCCCCGCCAACCCAUCGGAGAGCCUGGAGUCUCUCAUGUAGCGAUACAGGUCCUUCACACAAGGAAUUGUACAUUGAAUCA